UACGUAGGGUGCAAGCGUUAAUCGGAAUUACUGGGCGUAAAGCGUGCGCAGGCGGUUUUGUAAGUCUGUCGUGAAAUCCCCGGGCUCAACCUGGGAAUUGCGAUGGAGACUGCAAGGCUGGAGUCUGGCAGAGGGGGUAGAAUUCCACGUGUAGCAGUGAAAUGCGUAGAGAUGUGGAGGAACACCGAUGGCGAAGGCAGCUCCCUGGGUCAAGACUGACGCUCAUGCACGAAAGCGUGGGGAGCAAACAGG
This 252-nucleotide ribosomal RNA is filed under the name uncultured bacterium. RNAcentral's name for it is "partial 16S ribosomal RNA". It matches the Rfam family "Bacterial small subunit ribosomal RNA", at positions 524 to 776 of the family's 1533-position model. The record is from RNAcentral.